GACGAACGCUGGCGGCGUGCUUAACACAUGCAAGUCGAACGGAAAGGCCCUGCUUUUGUGGGGUGCUCGAGUGGCGAACGGGUGAGUAACACGUGAGUAACCUGCCCUUGACUUUGGGAUAACUUCAGGAAACUGGGGCUAAUACCGGAUAGGAGCUCCUGCUGCAUGGUGGGGGUUGGAAAGCUUCGGCGGUUGGGGAUGGACUUGCGGCUUAUCAGCUUGUUGGUGGGGUAGUGGCUUACCAAGGCUUUGACGGGUAGCCGGCCUGAGAGGGUGACCGGCCACAUGGGGACUGAGAUACGGCCCAGACUCCUACGGGAGGCAGCAGUGGGGAAUAUUGCACAAUGGGCGGAAGCCUGAUGCAGCAACGCCGCGUGCGGGAUGACGGCCUUCGGGUUGUAAACCGCUUUCGCCUGUGACGAAGCGUGAGUGACGGUAAUGGGUAAAGAAGCACCGGCUAACUACGUG
RNAcentral lists this ribosomal RNA (468 nucleotides) under uncultured bacterium. RNAcentral describes it as "partial 16S ribosomal RNA". It matches the Rfam family "Bacterial small subunit ribosomal RNA", at positions 28 to 507 of the family's 1533-position model. The record is from RNAcentral.